Long non-coding RNA from Octopus sinensis (East Asian common octopus), 153 nucleotides. RefSeq lists it as uncharacterized. Lineage: Eukaryota; Metazoa; Mollusca; Cephalopoda; Octopoda; Octopodidae. The transcript is spliced from 3 exons. The record is from RefSeq and is a predicted model, not a curated record.
UACUUCUUGAUGUUUCUCAAGUUACACAAUGAAAUGUUAUAUUUUAAAAGUAAGAAAAUACAUUUAAAGUUUGAUGAAAUCUAAGCCAAUCAAAUACUUCCUGUAGAAAAAAGAUUAUUGUUCGUUUAGUAUUUUUAACCUUUGACUCUUUCA